GCGUCGGUUGUUCAGUGGUAGAAUACUCGCCUGCCACGCGGGUGGCCCGGGUUUCGAUUCCCGGGCCGACGCA
RNAcentral lists this transfer RNA (73 nucleotides) under Ixodes scapularis (black-legged tick). It matches the Rfam family "tRNA". Rfam says of the family: Transfer RNA (tRNA) molecules are approximately 80 nucleotides in length. Their secondary structure includes four short double-helical elements and three loops (D, anti-codon, and T loops). The record is from Rfam by way of RNAcentral. Lineage: Eukaryota; Metazoa; Arthropoda; Arachnida; Ixodida; Ixodidae.